AUGAUGCCCAGCUUGCUGGGUGGAUUAGUGGCGAACGGGUGAGUAACACGUGAGUAACCUGCCCCUGACUCUGGGAUAAGCGUUGGAAACGACGUCUAAUACUGGAUAUGACUGCCGGCCGCAUGGUCUGGUGGUGGAAAGAUUUUUUGGUUGGGGAUGGACUCGCGGCCUAUCAGCUUGUUGGUGAGGUAAUGGCUCACCAAGGCGACGACGGGUAGCCGGCCUGAGAGGGUGACCGGCCACACUGGGACUGAGACACGGCCCAGACUCCUACGGGAGGCAGCAGUGGGGAAUAUUGCACAAUGGGCGAAAGCCUGAUGCAGCAACGCCGCGUGAGGGAUGACGGCCUUCGGGUUGUAAACCUCUUUUAGUAGGGAAGAAGGGAGCUUGCUCUUGACGGUACCUGCAGAAAAAGCACCGGCUAACUACGUGCCAGCAGCCGCGGUAAUACGUAGGGUGCAAGCGUUGUCCGGAAUUAUUGGGCGUAAAGAGCUCGUAGGCGGUUUGUCGCGUCUGCUGUGAAAUCCCGAGGCUCAACCUCGGGCUUGCAGUGGGUACGGGCAGACUAGAGUGCGGUAGGGGAGAUUGGAAUUCCUGGUGUAGCGGUGGAAUGCGCAGAUAUCAGGAGGAACACCGAUGGCGAAGGCAGAUCUCUGGGCCGUAACUGACGCUGAGGAGCGAAAGCGUGGGGAGCGAACAGGAUUAGAUACCCUGGUAGUCCACGCCGUAAACGUUGGGCGCUAGAUGUAGGGACCUUUCCACGGUUUCUGUGUCGUAGCUAACGCAUUAAGCGCCCCGCCUGGGGAGUACGGCCGCAAGGCUAAAACUCAAAGGAAUUGACGGGGGCCCGCACAAGCGGCGGAGCAUGCGGAUUAAUUCGAUGCAACGCGAAGAACCUUACCAAGGCUUGACAUACACCGGAAACGGCCAGAGAUGGUCGCCCCCUUGUGGUCGGUGUACAGGUGGUGCAUGGUUGUCGUCAGCUCGUGUCGUGAGAUGUUGGGUUAAGUCCCGCAACGAGCGCAACCCUCGUUCUAUGUUGCCAGCGCGUUAUGGCGGGGACUCAUAGGAGACUGCCGGGGUCAACUCGGAGGAAGGUGGGGAUGACGUCAAAUCAUCAUGCCCCUUAUGUCUUGGGCUUCACGCAUGCUACAAUGGCCGGUACAAAGGGCUGCGAUACCGUAAGGUGGAGCGAAUCCCAAAAAGCCGGUCUCAGUUCGGAUUGAGGUCUGCAACUCGACCUCAUGAAGUCGGAGUCGCUAGUAAUCGCAGAUCAGCAACGCUGCGGUGAAUACGUUCCCGGGCCUUGUACACACCGCCCGUCAAGUCAUGAAAGUCGGUAACACCCGAAGCCGGUGGCCUAACCCUUGUGGAAGGAGCCGUCGAAGGUGGGAUCGGUGAUUAGGACUAAGU
Molecule: ribosomal RNA, 1413 nt
Filed under: Bacillus sp. Wogelta 1
Lineage: Bacteria; Bacillati; Bacillota; Bacilli; Caryophanales; Bacillaceae
Description: bacterial SSU rRNA
Rfam family: Bacterial small subunit ribosomal RNA
Source: RNAcentral